UUCGCCCUUAGAGUUUGAUCCUGGCUCAGAACGAACGCUGGCGGCAUGCCUAACACAUGCAAGUCGAACGAGAUCUUCGGGUCUAGUGGCGCACGGGUGCGUAACGCGUGGGAAUCUGCCCUUGGGUUCGGGAUAACCGUUGGAAACGACGGCUAAUACCGGAUGAUGACGUAAGUCCAAAGAUUUAUCGCCCAGGGAUGAGCCCGCGUAGGAUUAGCUAGUUGGUGGGGUAAAGGCCUACCAAGGCGACGAUCCUUAGCUGGUCUGAGAGGAUGAUCAGCCACACUGG
RNAcentral lists this ribosomal RNA (289 nucleotides) under uncultured Sphingomonadaceae bacterium. RNAcentral describes it as "partial 16S ribosomal RNA". It matches the Rfam family "Bacterial small subunit ribosomal RNA", at positions 1 to 316 of the family's 1533-position model. Lineage: Bacteria; Pseudomonadati; Pseudomonadota; Alphaproteobacteria; Sphingomonadales; Sphingomonadaceae. The record is from RNAcentral.